Molecule: ribosomal RNA, 483 nt
Filed under: uncultured bacterium
Lineage: Bacteria
Description: partial 16S ribosomal RNA
Rfam family: Bacterial small subunit ribosomal RNA
Source: RNAcentral
AUUGAACGCUGGCGGCAGGCCUAACACAUGCAAGUCGAGCGGAUGAAGGGAGCUUUCUCCUGGAUUCAGCGGCGGACGGGUGAGUAAGUCCUAGGAAUCUGCCUUGUAUUGGGGGAUAACGUCACGAAACGGGCGCGAAUACCGCAUACGUCCAGAUGGAGAAAGGGGGGGAUCUUUGGACAUCGCGCUAUCAGAUGAGCCUAGUACGGUUUGAUGCGUUGGUGGGGUAAGGUCCUACCAAGGCGACGAUCCGUAACUGGCCUGAGGGGAUGAGCAGUCACCCUGAACCUGGGACCCGUCCCAACCCCCUAGGGGAGGCACAAGUGGGGAAUAUUCGCAAAUGGGCGAAACCCUGAUCCACCCCUGCCGCUGGUGUGAAGAAGGUCUUCGGUUUGUAAAGCCCUUUAUGUUGGGAGGAAGGGCAGUAAGUUAAUACCUUGCUGUUUUGACGUUCCCAACAGAAUAAGCACCGGCUACCUUCGU